RNAcentral lists this unclassified non-coding RNA (269 nucleotides) under Hevea brasiliensis (rubber tree). Lineage: Eukaryota; Viridiplantae; Streptophyta; Magnoliopsida; Malpighiales; Euphorbiaceae. The record is from RNAcentral.
GUCAUCCUGAAGUGAUUAAGAGGAAAUUUGUUGACUAAAAUUAUGUGAAGAGCAUGUGCAGUUAUGCACGGCAUCUCAUACCUAGGUGAAACUCCUGAUCAGGAAUAUUGCAUCAGGAAACAGAUGACAAUCUAUUGAGAGUGAGAAAAUUGAUUUGUUUAACUUUUAUAGUACAAUUGAAUUGACUGUCAUGUACUGCAUAUAGUUGAAACAAAAUUAAAAGAUAAAUUUUGUUGUUAUUAAUGACGUCCAUCUAUCUUCUAGUUUUG